UAGGGGGCGUAGCAAUACGUCACCGGCGGACGGGUGCGUAACACGUGGGAACGUACCCUUUGGUUCGGAACAACGCAGGGAAACUUGCGCUAAUACCGAAUGUGCCCGAAAGGGGAAAGAUUUAUCGCCAAAGGAUCGGCCCGCGUCUGAUUAGCUAGUUGGUGAGGUAAUGGCUCACCAAGGCGACGAUCAGUAGCUGGUCUGAGAGGAUGAUCAGCCACAUUGGGACUGAGACACGGCCCAAACUCCUACGGGAGGCAGCAGUGGGGAAUAUUGGACAAUGGGCGCAAGCCUGAUCCAGCCAUGCCGCGUGAGUGAUGAAGGCCCUAGGGUUGUAAAGCUCUUUUGUGCGGGAAGAUAAUGACGGUACCGCAAGAAUAAGCCCCGGCUAACUUCGUG
Molecule: ribosomal RNA, 399 nt
Filed under: uncultured bacterium
Lineage: Bacteria
Description: bacterial SSU rRNA
Rfam family: Bacterial small subunit ribosomal RNA
Source: RNAcentral